ACGGGUGAGUAACGCGUAAUCAACCUGCCCUUCAGAGGGGGAUAACAACGGGAAACCGUUGCUAAUACCGCGUACGAUUCAUAGGCGGCAUCGCUUGUGAAUGAAAGGUGGCCUCUAUAUAUAAGCUAUCGCUGAAGGAGGGGAUUGCGUCUGAUUAGCUAGUUGGAGGGGUAACGGCCCACCAAGGCAAUGAUCAGUAGCCGGUCUGAGAGGAUGAACGGCCACAUUGGGACUGAGACACGGCCCAAACUCCUACGGGAGGCAGCAGUGGGGAAUCUUCCGCAAUGGACGAAAGUCUGACGGAGCAACGCCGCGUGAGUGAUGAAGGUCUUCGGAUUGUAAAGCUCUGUUAAUCGGGACGAAAGAGUUCUGUGUGAAUAAUGCAGAAAAGUGACGGUACCGGAAUAGAAAGCCACGGCUAACUACGUGCCAGCAGCCGCGGUAAUACGUAGGUGGCAAGCGUUGUCCGGAUUUAUUGGGCGUAAAGCGAGCGCAGGCGGUUUGAUAAGUCUGAAGUUAAAGGCUGUGGCUCAACCAUAGUUCGCUUUGGAAACUGUCAAACUUGAGUGCAGAAGGGGAGAGUGGAAUUCCAUGUGUAGCGGUGAAAUGCGUAGAUAUAUGGAGGAACACCGGUGGCGAAAGCGGCUCUCUGGUCUGUAACUGACGCUG
Molecule: ribosomal RNA, 669 nt
Filed under: uncultured bacterium
Lineage: Bacteria
Description: bacterial SSU rRNA
Rfam family: Bacterial small subunit ribosomal RNA
Source: RNAcentral